AGUAGAGAAAGUGCAAGAGGGAAGAGUUACCCGGGCUAGAGAGGACAGCGGGCCGCAGGUUUAGUCCUGGCUGUGGAGUGGGAUGCUGAGAUGGGUCUGGAGGGAUGCAGGAUGUUCUAGUCCCAGUUAGGAUGAUAAAUAGGGACCUCGCUCCGAGAGGGAUGCUGAACGGAGUCUGGAAGAAUGCAAGAUGUCCUGGUCCGGGCCAGGAAUGGAGACAGUGCCUCACAUAUUCCAGGCUGGCCUGGAACCCACUAUGUAGUCAAGAGUUACCUUAAACCUCCGAUUCUCUUGCCUUCACCUUCCUAGUACUGGGAUGACAGACACAUGACACCGCACACAGUGGUGCUGAGGAUGGAACUCGGGACUUCAUGCCUGCUAGGUGUGAUGUGCAUGCUUUUAAUCCCAGCACUCAGGAGGCG
This is a long non-coding RNA of Mus caroli (Ryukyu mouse), 422 nucleotides long. RefSeq lists it as uncharacterized. The record is from RefSeq and is a predicted model, not a curated record. NCBI's taxonomy places the organism in Eukaryota, Metazoa, Chordata, Mammalia, Rodentia, Muridae.